This 92-nucleotide transfer RNA is filed under the name Stutzerimonas stutzeri. RNAcentral describes it as "tRNA-Ser". Lineage: Bacteria; Pseudomonadati; Pseudomonadota; Gammaproteobacteria; Pseudomonadales; Pseudomonadaceae. The record is from RNAcentral.
GCGGGCGGCACAAAACGGCAAGGCCCGUACUGCGAAGCUUUGCAGAUCAAUGCGGAGAAAAAAUUGGGGUUCGAUUCCCUUCGCCCGCUCCA